This 445-nucleotide ribosomal RNA is filed under the name uncultured bacterium. RNAcentral's name for it is "bacterial SSU rRNA". It matches the Rfam family "Bacterial small subunit ribosomal RNA", at positions 354 to 796 of the family's 1533-position model. The record is from RNAcentral.
GUGAGGAAUAUUGCGCAAUGGAGGCAACUCUGACGCAGCCAUGCCGCGUGCAGGAAGAAGGCGCUACGCGUUGUAAACUGCUUUUAACCGGGAAGAAACCCCAGGACGUGUCCUGGGUUGACGGUACCGGAGGAAUAAGCACCGGCUAACUUCGUGCCAGCAGCCGCGGUAAUACGAAGGGUGCAAGCGUUAUCCGGAUUCAUUGGGUUUAAAGGGUGCGUAGGCGGGGUGGUAAGUCAGUGGUGAAAUCCUGCGGCUCAACCGUAGAAUUGCCAUUGAUACUGCCAUUCUUGAGUAGGCUCGACGUGGGCGGAAUGUGCCGUGUAGCGGUGAAAUGCUUAGAUAUGGCACAGAACACCGAUAGUGAAGACAGCUCACGAGGGCCAAACUGACGCUGAGGCACGAAAGCGUGGGGAUCGAACAGGAUUAGAAACCCGAGUAGUCC